CCUACGGGGGGCUGCAGUGAGGAAUAUUGGUCAAUGGACGAGAGUCUGAACCAGCCAAGUAGCGUGAAGGAUGACUGCCCUAUGGGUUGUAAACUUCUUUUAUAUGGGAAUAAAACGUUCCACGUGUGGGAUUUUGUAUGUACCAUAUGAAUAAGGAUCGGCUAACUCCGUGCCAGCAGCCGCGGUAAUACGGAGGAUCCGAGCGUUAUCCGGAUUUAUUGGGUUUAAAGGGAGCGUAGAUGGGUUGUUAAGUCAGUUGUGAAAGUUUGGGGCCCAACCGUAAGAUUGCAAUGGAUACUGGCAGUGUUGAGUAGCUGAGAGGUAGGCGGAAUGCGCGGUGUAGCGGUGAAAUGCUUAGAUAUGGCGCAGAACGCCGAUUGCGAAGGCAGCUUACU
RNAcentral lists this ribosomal RNA (395 nucleotides) under uncultured bacterium. Its description in RNAcentral is "partial 16S ribosomal RNA". It matches the Rfam family "Bacterial small subunit ribosomal RNA", at positions 338 to 730 of the family's 1533-position model. The record is from RNAcentral.